GUCCACGCUGUAAACGAUGAUGACUAACCGUCGGCGAUACACUGUCGGUGGCCAAGCGAAAGCGAUAAGUCAUCCACCUGGGGAGUACGACCGCAAGGUUGAAACUCAAAGGAAUUGACGGGGGCCCGCACAAGCGGAGGAACAUGUGGUUUAAUUCGAUGAUACGCGAGGAACCUUACCCGGGCUCGAACGGCAGGGGAAUGGGUCAGAGAUGGUCCAGUCUUACGACUCCUGUCGAGGUGCUGCAUGGUUGUCGU
RNAcentral lists this ribosomal RNA (257 nucleotides) under uncultured bacterium. Its description in RNAcentral is "partial 16S ribosomal RNA". It matches the Rfam family "Bacterial small subunit ribosomal RNA", at positions 793 to 1055 of the family's 1533-position model. The record is from RNAcentral.